UACGGAGGGUGCGAGCGUUGUCCGGAAUCACUGGGCGUAAAGGGCGCGUAGGCGGCGCGGGAAGUCCGUGGUGAAAGCCCGAGGCUCAACUUCGGGUCGGCCAUGGAUACUCCUGGGCUCGAGCACUGUAGAGGCAGGUGGAAUUCCGGGUGUAGCGGUGGAAUGCGUAGAGAUCCGGAAGAGCACCGGUGGCGAAGGCGGCCUGCUGGGCAGUAGCUGACGCUAAGGCGCGACAGCGUGGGGAGCAAACAGG
Molecule: ribosomal RNA, 253 nt
Filed under: uncultured bacterium
Lineage: Bacteria
Description: partial 16S ribosomal RNA
Rfam family: Bacterial small subunit ribosomal RNA
Source: RNAcentral